CCUUGGCUAGCUCAGUCGGUAGAGCAUGAGAUUCUUCAUCUCAGGGUCGUGGGUUUGAGCCCCUCGUUGGGCG
Non-coding RNA from Danio rerio (zebrafish), 73 nucleotides. The record is from Rfam. Lineage: Eukaryota; Metazoa; Chordata; Actinopteri; Cypriniformes; Danionidae.